GGAGGAAGUGAGCAGGGCCGGGCGUGGUCUGCAGGCUAGAUCUAGUGCUUUAUCUACUGGGCGGCUGAGCUAGAGACUGCCGGUGCCUUCAUGGGCAGGACUAGGCCGAAAACUCCCCAGUGAGAUAAACAGUUAAGACGUUCACCAGUUCCUGUGGCAGAGGCUCUGGCUGUAUGGACGAAGGAAAGGUGUGUGCCUUGAUUCAAAUGCAAGUGAAACCAGCAUCUUUGCAGGAACAUGGAAAGGAAUGUUUAGAAAAAUUGAUUCCCAUUUCAAUAUUUAGUAUAAUUUACUCCACUUAUCAUGAAAUGCUUCUUCACAAAUUUUAUGAAAACAGGAGCUGCCCCUAUUAAGAACCCCAUGCACCUCAUGCAAUUCUAUGGGUGUUGAAAGAAGUACUUGCUGGCCAAGUGAAAGCCUCAAGACUGAAAGGCAACAUUAUAUUACAGCAGCAGUUGGUUCCUCAAAACAAGAUGCUCACCUGGAAAGAAUUCCGUGUGUUCCCGACCCCCACCCACCCACUGGCUGUGAAGGAGCCCUUCAGGCCCCCGUGUGCCCAGCAAGACAAGCCCCCCAGACACCCCUCACCCGGCAAGACACUGCCCCACUUCAUCACUACGAAAUGUCCAAGAAGAGAGCUAAAUGUAAAACCAAUCACCCACCUUUCCCUAGGAAACCGUCAGCCCAACCUCAACAAACCCUACAUUCCUGCUGACCUUGAAACCACCAGAAAAUAAGAAACAAUUCACCAAGGAAGAAAUACAACUUGUCCUUAAAUACUGAAGAAAGAUGUUCAUUUCAUCCAGGGAAGAGCUGAUGUUGCAGUAUUAAGCCUGGAGGCCAUCUAGAAGCAGAAUUCCCCUCUUCCUUGGAACACUGCAGUCUUUUUCUCUUGAGGCCUUCAACAUAUUGGAAGAGGCCUACCUGCACUGUGGAGGGCCAUCUGCUUUAUUCAAAGUUUACUGAUUUAUUAGGCCGGUGCAAAAGUAAUUGCAGUUUUUGCCACAGUUUUAAUGGCAAAAACCGCAAUUACUUUUGCACCAACCUAAUACAUGUUAAUUACGGCCUGGC
This 1071-nucleotide long non-coding RNA is filed under the name Homo sapiens (human). RNAcentral describes it as "LNC_000259". The record is from RNAcentral. Lineage: Eukaryota; Metazoa; Chordata; Mammalia; Primates; Hominidae.